CACAAACACAGGUGGCCAGCCCUCAUCUGGCAGCAGCGUGGGGCCUGAGCUGGAUGGAAGAGCUGGACUGCCAGAGGACGAAGCAGGCUCUCACAAAAGCAGCAGAAAGAGACAAAGACACCUGGACAGGUCACCCUGGACCAUCGAUCAGAGCCUCCGCAGCCAGACGGGCUGCUCUGGGGGUUGAGGCCCCGACGCAGGACAACAUUUCCCUUGACCUGUUCGACAAGCCCGCUUAAUUACGACACAGAAGCAGUCUCAUAGAGGAAACACUAAGCAAGCCAUGCGGUGUUGUGGAAGGAGCUGCGGGUCGACUGGGUUCAGACUCACUUCCUGGCUCGGUUCUGGACGGCCUGCUGCUGCUGCUGCUGCUGUUGCUGCUGCUGCUGCUGCUGGACCUGCUGGGAGGGGGCAGGCCUCUUACGACUGGGCUCCAUCACCGGGGAGGGCAGGCCGGGCCGCACCGCGGGGCUCCCUCCGUACGGUGGGCCGGGGGGGCCCAUGGGAGCUCCCUGGUGGGGCAUCCUCGCUCCAGACGGCAUACCAGGACGCUGGGAGGAGAGCGGAAAAGAGAGAGGUCAUAAAAACAUUCUCCACUGUGUUUUCUGAUUAAUUAUAACCACAAAUUAAGGUUUCUAAAAAUACAACCAAGUAAGAUCAAUUGUAACUUUUGUGCUUUUUCCUCUUGGUGGAUUGAAGGUGGGGAGUUUUUUUUUUUUGUAAACACACCUAUCUAGGCUGACAAAAUCAUGAAUUAGAGCUUCAACAAAGAGCUUCUAAUCCAGACACCACAGACUUGACCUAUUAAAACACAAACAGCGAGUUCACAGUGCUACA
Amphiprion ocellaris (clown anemonefish) is the source of this 837-nucleotide long non-coding RNA. RefSeq lists it as uncharacterized. Lineage: Eukaryota; Metazoa; Chordata; Actinopteri; Pomacentridae. The transcript has 2 exons. The record is from RefSeq and is a predicted model, not a curated record.